Cygnus atratus (black swan) is the source of this 1523-nucleotide long non-coding RNA. RefSeq lists it as uncharacterized. The transcript has 5 exons. NCBI's taxonomy places the organism in Eukaryota, Metazoa, Chordata, Aves, Anseriformes, Anatidae. The record is from RefSeq and is a predicted model, not a curated record.
GCGUGAGAGUGGGAGGCCCAUGCUCAAGGAAUUACAGAGCUUACUCUCCUCUUGUGUAGGAGAAUGCUGUAAGGGAAACUAAAAUUUUCUUUCUAAUGGUUCUCUUUCAGUUGAGCACCCCAAAGCUGAAUAUUGCUAGGAGCAUGAAGCUUGGGCUGGAAGAGUUUAGGCCUUAGGAGAGGGAAAUAAAGUAACUGUCCUGCUUUCUGAUAGCCGCCGGUUGUGCUUGAGCUUAUCAACACCAUUUCUUCCAAGCCAAACAGAAGCUGCUAAAACAGUGCUUGACAAAGGAAAAUAUUUAACUGUGUAGACAAGAGAGGUGGUGACUGACAUACUGGACUCUGCAAGCUCCAGAACAAAAGCAGGUAACUUAUUUCUCUGAACAGAAAGCUAUAGAUUUCCUCAUAGCUAACUGAAAAAAUUGGCAAAUGGCUGCAUCUUCUGAACAUAUCUGAAGGGUGAAGUAACUUUAAGGUUCCCUUGCUUUUGUUGUAUAAACAGUUUUAGUAUUGAUAUUAGCAGUUUGAACUUGAGCAAUGUCAUUGUCAUAUGAUGUGUGAUUCACUCGUAGACAAUCAAGAGAGAAGUUACCCAGUUCAUACUUUUGGCCAUGUUAACCCAGAGACAGUAUUUCCAUUUAGCAGGCAGCCAAAGGAAAACAGAGACCAAAAGAGCUGGAAUUCAGUGAAGCUGGAUAUUAGCUUUAACCUGGGCUGGGAGAAAAGUGAAAGAACAACAAAGGAACUGUUUGGUGAAGAAAAUCAUACACACUCCCAGUUGCACUGUUAGCAAAUUUUCAGACAGCCUUCGGUAUUCUAUGUGACUGGUAUGGCAUUUGCAUUAGUGUGGGCAGGAUGGUUCUUCAGUGGACCACAUUCCUGAGAUCAACUGAUAGGGCUGUGUGCAUCAUUCACCUUCACCCACACAGAGGAUCUGCAAGAGGUUAUCCUUGCCUUCUGGAAGGAAUGCCCAUGGGCAACAUAUUGCGGAGAGGAGUCUCUUUUCUCACGACAAUCAGACUUCCAGCACGCCAGUAUUAAUCAAUGAUUAGCAUCACUCCCUGCUCUGGAGACAGUUUUUCUUUUCACCACAGCACAACCACCACCUCCCUCCAUGUCUAUAGGAGAAACACAACCAAUAGGAUUCUGUGUAAAUCACUCUGGGAGUAACAAAAAUGAGGAUCUUUACUCAGCUAAGUUUUCCUGUUUUGUUGUAAGGCUUUUGACAUGCAACAGGAAGAGAAAACUGUCCCUAGGAAGAUAUGACUGCAAGGUACCUAUGCUGCUGGACAGUUUGGGAACUGGUGGAAGACCAUAGAUGCUACUUUUGACCAUUUUUAGACUGACAUCAUUUGAGGCCGACAUGUCCUUUUUGGCUUAUUAAUGUGAUCUGUGUCCUGCCCUAAAUUAAAGGGAAAAUGAACAAAAAAAAGGCUGCUUGGCAGUAGCUGCCAAUGUGUACAGUGAUGUGCAAAUACAAUUUCUGUGAAGUUCUUGUCUCUGGGAUUAGUUUGCAGGGGAAAA